Molecule: ribosomal RNA, 497 nt
Filed under: uncultured bacterium
Lineage: Bacteria
Description: partial 16S ribosomal RNA
Rfam family: Bacterial small subunit ribosomal RNA
Source: RNAcentral
GAUGAACGCUGGCGGCGUGCCUAAUACAUGCAAGUCGAGCGAACAGACGAGGAGCUUGCUCCUCUGACGUUAGCGGCGGACGGGUGAGUAACACGUGGAUAACCUACCUAUAAGACUGGGAUAACUUCGGGAAACCGGAGCUAAUACCGGAUAAUAUAUUGAACCGCAUGGUUCAAUAGUUAAAGACGGUUUUGCUGUCACUUAUAGAUGGAUCCGCGCCGCAUUAGCUAGUUGGUAAGGUAACGGCUUACCAAGGCAACGAUGCGUAGCCGACCUGAGAGGGUGAUCGGCCACACUGGAACUGAGACACGGUCCAGACUCCUACGGGAGGCAGCAGUAGGGAAUCUUCCGCAAAGGGCGAAAGCCUGACGGAGCAACGCCGCGUGAGUGAUGAAGGUCUUCGGAUCGUAAAACUCUGUUAUUAGGGAAGAACAAAUGUGUAAGUAACUAUGCACGUCUUGACGGUACCUAAUCAGAAAGCCACGGCUAACUACGUG